GUCUGUAUGAAGGUGUAUAGAGUCUAGCCUGCCCACUGAUAAGCAUUAAAGGGCCGCGGUAUUCUGACCGUGCGAAGGUAGCAUAAUCAUUUGUCUUUUAAUUGAAGGCUUGUAUGAAUGGUUGAACGAAAAAUAGACUGUCUUCCUAGUUGAAAACUGAAUUUAACAUUUAAGUGAAAAGGCUUAAAUAUAGUAAAAAGACGAUAAGACCCUAUAAAUCUUUACGUUAUUUAUUAAAUUUAGGGUUAAACGUAAGUUAAAAGCUUCUGAAUUUUUAUUAAUGUUUUGUUGGGGCAACAUAGAUAGCGAAAUUAUCUGUUUAAAAGAUUUACAGAAAAUUGCUGAAUAAAUUGCAUGAGAUCCUUUGUAGAGAUUACAAGAUUAAGUUACUUUAGGGAUAACAGCGUUAUUUUACUUGAGAGUUCUUAUCGAAAGUAAAGUUUGCGACCUCGAUGUUGAAUUAAAAUUUCUUUGUGGUGCAGCCGCUAUAAGAGAAAGUCUGUUCGACUUUUAAAAUUUU
RNAcentral lists this ribosomal RNA (520 nucleotides) under Paguropsis lacinia. RNAcentral's name for it is "partial 16S ribosomal RNA". It matches the Rfam family "Bacterial large subunit ribosomal RNA", at positions 1829 to 2597 of the family's 2925-position model. The record is from RNAcentral. Lineage: Eukaryota; Metazoa; Arthropoda; Malacostraca; Decapoda; Diogenidae.